RNAcentral lists this small nuclear RNA (249 nucleotides) under Oryctolagus cuniculus (rabbit). RNAcentral describes it as "7SK RNA". It matches the Rfam family "7SK RNA", at positions 1 to 284 of the family's 331-position model. From Rfam's summary of the family: 7SK was discovered as an abundant small nuclear RNA in the mid-70s but a possible function has only recently been suggested. The record is from Rfam by way of RNAcentral. Lineage: Eukaryota; Metazoa; Chordata; Mammalia; Lagomorpha; Leporidae.
GGGUGUGAGGGCGAUGUGGCUGUGACUGAUUGCCAGGGCUGAUACGGCUGAGCCGGCUGCUGGACAGGCGUCCCCUCCCUCCCUGCAUAGCAUCCCUCCCAAAGCCGCGUGCUUGGUGGAAGAGAACAACCUUCCCCGCGAGAGGAGGACCCGUCUUCGGUCAAGGGUAUACGGGUAGCUGGGCUGCCCUGUUGGAACCUCCCAACAAACUCUCAAAGUUCGGAGAAGCUGAGGGACUCGCUGAGACCC